This 212-nucleotide small nucleolar RNA is filed under the name Fonsecaea erecta. Lineage: Eukaryota; Fungi; Ascomycota; Eurotiomycetes; Chaetothyriales; Herpotrichiellaceae. The record is from RNAcentral.
ACGUCUCUUACCUCGCUCGAUCUGCAUCUCUUCCCUAUUGCCUGAUCUUGAGCUGGAUGCUGUGAUGGCGGCGGUCCUUGACUGGAUCGCUAGUAUCACACGCAUGAGACAAGAACAAACCCACCUUUUGUUUUGGUUGCCGAUCUUUGAGUACGAUUCCAUCUUUCCCCUCUGGGUGCGUGGUGGGCGUUGUAAUUUAUACGGCAGGACAU